ACUCCUACGGGAGGCAGCAGUGGGGAAUUUUCCGCAAUGGGCGAAAGCCUGACGGAGCAAUGCCGCGUGGAGGUGGAAGGCCUACGGGUCGUCAACUUCUUUUCUCGGAGAAGAAACAAUGACGCCCCUCUGAGGAAUAAGCAUCGGCUAACUCUGUGCCAGCAGCCGCGGUAAUA
RNAcentral lists this ribosomal RNA (176 nucleotides) under uncultured bacterium. RNAcentral describes it as "partial 16S ribosomal RNA". It matches the Rfam family "Bacterial small subunit ribosomal RNA", at positions 335 to 525 of the family's 1533-position model. The record is from RNAcentral.